This is a long non-coding RNA of Gadus morhua (Atlantic cod), 931 nucleotides long. RefSeq lists it as uncharacterized. The record is from RefSeq and is a predicted model, not a curated record. The transcript has 2 exons. Lineage: Eukaryota; Metazoa; Chordata; Actinopteri; Gadiformes; Gadidae.
AUGUGUGACGGGGUGAAUUAUUAGUUUCAGUAUAGACUUAGGAAACAUUUAAAUAUUCAUUGGUUACCUGCACAUUACUUUACCAUGGUGUGUGGAGGGGGUGGUGUGUUGAAUGGGCGUGGUCUCACACUGGAGCUUAAGGCUAGAGAGCUGGACCGAAGUCCCACCACCUGCAUCUAAUGCGUAAUUGGACGAGCGAGCGUGUUCAUUCACACUGAUCGGCCCAUCGCCGCGAACUGGGGCUACAGAGAGCAAGUACCUUGCCCAAAGACGUGGCGUGUCGGGAUUCAUUGCGCAAGGUAGCCACUCUUUAGUCUAAUUGCACUUUAACAAUACUGUUUACAUUUCCCGCAUAUGUAUGGCAAAUGGUGUGCCAUACGUAUGAUUGAUUUUAUGUUUAACCUACUGUAUAAUACAGGGAAUGUUUAGCUGAAGAUGAUAUGCUUUUAUCUGUGUGCUGUGUGUAAUUAUGUGUGCUUUUGGUCUGUUCCAGACGUGGCGUGCUUCUGAGUGUUUGUGUCGCUUUCUCCCCUGUAUAGUUGACCUCCAAGCUUCUGUGGGAACUUAAUUAUUAUAACUAUUUUGGUUUGAAGUUCAUUUCCUUUUUGUUUCUUUAAGGCCUGGUCGAGAGCGCGUGUUCCCCAUUAACCUAUGUUCAUGGUAGCUCAUGCCAAUAAGUUUACUGUGGUUUGUCAUUUGUAUUACUAUUUGUUUAAAACAUCUUGUUGUGCUGUGAAUCGCCAUCUUUGGAGUGCUGUGCAAUAACUGAACUGAUUGAAGAUGAUUUUGGGCGACUGUUUUUGUGUGACGUUGCCACAUUGAUGUGGGUUGCUAUUGAGUUGCAGGUAGCGCAACCAUGACCAGGUCUUACCUCUUUGUUUAUAUUUACUAUAUUUAUUGUGCCAUAAUAAAUUAAGAUUUAUCUUUUCUA